UGGGGAAUUUUGGACAAUGGGCGAAAGCCUGAUCCAGCAAUGCCGCGUGUGUGAAGAAGGCCUUCGGGUUGUAAAGCACUUUUGUCCGGAAAGAAAUCCUUGGCUCUAAUACAGUCGGGGGAUGACGGUACCGGAAGAAUAAGCACCGGCUAACUACGUGCCAGCAGCCGCGGUAAUACGUAGGGUGCAAGCGUUAAUCGGAAUUACUGGGCGUAAAGCGUGCGCAGGCGGUUUGCUAAGACCGAUGUGAAAUCCCCGGGCUCAACCUGGGAACUGCAUUGGUGACUGGCAGGCUAGAGUAUGGCAGAGGGGGGUAGAAUUCCACGUGUAGCAGUGAAAUGCGUAGAGAUGUGGAGGAAUACCGAUGGCGAAGGCAGCCCCCUGGGCCAAUACUGACGCUCAUGCACGAAAGCGUGGGGAGCAAAACAGGAUUAGAUACCCUGGUAGUCCACGCCCUAAACGAUGUCAACUAGUUGUUGGGGAUUCAUUUCCUUAGUAACGUAGCUAACGCGUGAAGUUGACCGCCUGGGGAGUACGGUCGCAAGAUUAAAACUCAAAGGAAUUGACGGGG
This 571-nucleotide ribosomal RNA is filed under the name uncultured bacterium. Its description in RNAcentral is "partial 16S ribosomal RNA". It matches the Rfam family "Bacterial small subunit ribosomal RNA", at positions 355 to 918 of the family's 1533-position model. The record is from RNAcentral.